This is a long non-coding RNA of Mus musculus (house mouse), 6077 nucleotides long. RefSeq annotates it as predicted gene, 40056. The transcript has 6 exons. NCBI's taxonomy places the organism in Eukaryota, Metazoa, Chordata, Mammalia, Rodentia, Muridae. The record is from RefSeq and is a predicted model, not a curated record.
UGGGCCUGGUUUUCUCAUAUGAUUUUAAUGCAUUCAUGCACCCAUCCAGUCUCAGUUCACCCCGUUCUGUGUCGUGUGGGUGGUGUGACAGAUGGCGCCGUUUACGUGUCCACCCAGGUGCAGAGCGUUCCUCUAUCUUCAAAAUAGAGUCAGAGCUGCUCGCAAGAUGGCGUCUUUCAGGGUAAGGCAGUCUGAAACGGGGAGUAGGUUAGAGCAGGGCACAGCCUGUUUGCAAAACUGACGAGACGAGAUUGGCUCUUUAAAUAAACCAAAAGGAUUAAACGAAUCUAUAGUACUGACCAUUCUGAAGCCAGGGUUAACGUUUAGCAUAGGGAGAGGGAACAGGAGCUGAAUGUUCUUGGAAACUCGCUUUUUCAAAAAGGCUUUCAGCGAAGCAUUGUGUAUUAGUACCCCCCACCCCGGGUGGAAGAAUAUUUUAAGAUAUUAACCGCAGGGCUCCCCGCUCAGGCGCCAGCUCUUGCCUAUGGCACGUCUCCCACUCAAGCUUCAGUGAACUUAAGGCACUUUGCCAAAGAACAGGGAGCCUCACCGUGGAGAGGAAGAGGUGUCUUUCAGUUUUAAAUGUGCAACCCACAGCAGGAUCCAGAAAGAAUGUAGGACAAAGGAUUCCAAAGAAAACAUAGCAGCUCUGAGCUCGUGUUUCCCACCCUCCUGACUCGCUUUAUGAACUCCCCGGAUAGAUGGGAAAGAGAACUUCAGAGGAACUUGGCUCCUGAAGAGGUGCCCAGAGACUUGCCUUCCCUAGGCGGUACCUGAAGGUAGAACGGGGACAAUGGUAGGAGUCUAGGUGGAUUUGAUGGAUCCAAGCCUAAGAGUCCAUUGUUGCUUUCCCAGUGAGAUCUGAGGGGUGGAAAACUUGCCUGUUGACCACGUGCUUGGCAGUAAGCAGCAUCGAGGGAGGAUGGUUAUGUGGAGGAUCUAGGGAGAUGGAGCAGCCUCCUAGAAUCAAUACCCAGUUCCAAGAGCAAUGAUAGAUGUACCAAGAAGCAGACAAAGUAGGUUGAAGGAAGCAAAAUAACUGCUCUUGAGGAGGCCUAGAGAUUAGAAAAGGGGGUGAGAAACAGCAGGACUUGGAGCAAUGGCAAAGUUGUACAUCUCAGCACAUUCCUGCCUAGUUGAUGGUUACUCAGACAAGGAGAAAGAUGGAAAGCCGAGGAGGCAUGAGAAAGAAAGAGAAGCCGUGGCGCCCUAGGAUCUGGAUGAAAUCUCUUGCUGGCGGACAGUCAAGAAUUUCAAGACAGCUGACCAAAUGGCCCGCAGAGGACGUACUCCCGUCUGAGAAAGUCUCACUAACAAGGUUAUGAACCAUCUUUCCAGACAAAAAGCACGUCUUAACUUCCUUGUGACUUAAGAAUUAAUUCAUUCACGAGGACUCCUUGUGAGUUGAAGGUCUUAAAAGCAAGCCACAGCAAGCUGUCCAAUCAGACAUAUUUAAGAUGAAACUUCACUCUUGGCGGGGAUUUGGGAGGCUCACCGGAAUGCCUCUUUACGAAGGCUGCCCAGAAGAGGAUGCUCCAGGUCGGCUCAGCUUGCAAAACCAGCAGAAUCCGGUUAUCUAAGAAGGUGAGAUUCCCAAGUGCUAGGGAGAAAUGAAGACGAGACAAAACAGAUGAAGGUCAGUGUGGGGAUUUUAAUGAGUCUGUCAUGGAGUAAGGAUGCCAUGUGCUGAAAUGUAUCUAGACCAUGUUCUAUGAUUAUCUGAGUUGUAUAAGUAGUUACUCACUUGCAGGAAGCAGGUGAUUGGUAGGACAAAGUUUUGAUGUCUGUAGACAUGGUUAUUUUCUAAAGACUUUGAAAGCAUGUCUUUAUCUCAUGGUGAGCAUCUCAAGAUGGGCCAGCGUGGUUACUUGGUUGCUAAGAGAAAAUGGUUAGAGUGGUACACAGGUGGAGAAAAGGGAAUGUAGGAUUCUGGGGCGAAGAAAGAUACAGCAGUCCUUGGUUUUCAAAUUCCAGUCUGCAGGCUGGUAACAAGCUGGCAGCUUCCAAAUUGCUUGGGGAGCUUGUUGAAAAUAGACAUUUCUGAAACCUAGCUCCAGAAAUUUUAAUGUGGUAUCAAAUUAUGCUUGAUUCUGAUAGUUAGGUUUAGAAAUGAAAGGAGUAGUUAAUAUGUAAGAUUUAGAAGACUGGUAUGCAUCCAUUAUGUAAAUAUGUGGUUAUUAAGUGUCAGCUGCAUGAAAGUUGCCAGGCUUAGUUCUUUGGAAAUAACAAACAUGUAGGAGAUAGUCUGUGAUGGUUAAUAUUUGGUUCCCAGGUUGAGUGGAUUGAAAGACAUCUAGAGAAGUAUUAAAGCACACUUAGGGCUUACGUCGGACAGUGGUUCCAGAGACAGUCGGUAUGUGUGUCAGGAAACUGACUUGGGAAGACCUGUUCUGAAUGUGCAUGACCUCGCCCAGUAAGCUUGAAGCCUAGAUCAAACAAAAGGAAAAGCAGAAGCAAGGGCACACAAAACUCAUUUUGAGCAGAUGCACUUUUGCUAUUGCUAUGGUCUGUGAACGUUAGAUCACAGACUCUUCAGCUUUUGAAUGUAGACUCACACCAGCAAUUCUCUGGGGAGUUUCCAGGCCUUCAGUUUCAGAAUGGGGGCGUAUUACUAGUCCUGAUUCUUUGAUUGAGAAGCUAGUGGUUUCUGUGGAUCUCUGCCUAUAGCUCCUGUGACUACUCAGCCUCUGGUCUGCUAAGCCAAUUAAUAAAUCCCACCACACAUACACACAAACACAUAUGCACACACACUCACACACACGCACACGCACACGCACACGCACACGCACACACACACACACACACACACACACACACACACACCAUGCACACACAUGCGCCAGGAGGUGGGUACUUUCUUUUCUCAUGAAUGUGACACAGUGCCUGACAAGAGCAUCAUUAACGAAGGAAAGCUUCAUCUUGGUGCAGGGUUUCAAGGGUUUCAGUCCACCGCAUGGUGGGCAGGGCAAGACAAAGCAGCUCUGUGGCAUUGAGAGCUUAUGGUGGAAACCAUUCUAUGGUGGUUCUAAUAGGAAAGAGCUAGAUGAGAAGGAGCCGAGGAUAUUAUACCCUCAAGGACUUACCAUUGGUACCUAUUUCUGCUAGCUAAACCCCAUCACCUAGAGGAUCUACAGCCUUCCCCAGUAGAACCCCCAGCUGGAGACCAAGAGUUCAGACAAAUUUACAGUCACCUGGGGUAGGGGACAACUGGAGGCAGUUUGGUGCCAAUCUCCACGUAUAUUUGUUUCUUGGGUCUCCCAGCAGCUAGGAAGGCUCUACAUCUCCUGACAAUUGCAAUCUCACUUUCCCUGACUCCAUACUUCACCUUCCUGUCUGUCCCCAGCACAGCCGGACCUUACCCUCCACCCUUGUCCGCUUACCUCAGUGUCUCUAUGGUCAGAACAGCCAACCACAACAAGGCUUCCACUGGCAGGAAACAGUCUUCACACUCUUGGGAUUUCCUAUUAUGUGAUGUGCAACCUUUUCCAGAAACAAUCGAACCUAAAAAUAGAAACCGCCUGGAUCCACCUUCAUCUCAAUACAAUGACUCCGUGGCCGCUGUAACUGGCCUUGAAGCAGUGCCAGGCACUUUGAAAUCCCGAGGCUCAUCGGUGUGAAUGAAGGAAGCGCUUCCAGGGACUCCCAAGCGAGGGGAGGCUGCUGUUUACUUAUUCCCUAGUCUUUGUUAUUUUGUUGGCCUUUGCCAGGAAAGCCUGGGUAGGAGGAAGGAAAGCAAGAAGGGGAUCAGAGGGGUGCAGGAGAUUAGCAAGCAGAAUUGGUGACCCUGGGGGAAGAGACUAAUUCCCAGAGGAAUUAGGUGAGUUUUUGAAGGAUGGGGUUGAACUGGAGAAGAGAGGGAAAGAGAAGCAGGUUGAAACUGGAUUUUCAGCGGCCCACGUAGUUGGAGUGACUGGGCCUUCACAGCUGGAUCAUGGCUUCUGGAAAUGGAGCAGGGAGGAGAAUCAGUCCGUCUUCAAGUCACUACCAGGGUCAGCAGUUACUGUUUCUCUCUCACCAUCCCCUGAGAAGUUCCCAUUCUCUUCUGUGUGGAGGAGGAGACAGAGGAAGGGACAAAAACCUGGAGAGGGCAGAAGCACCUGCCCACCCAUGUGAGACAAGACAAAAAGCAGAAGUUAAUCAGCGUGCACCGGCCCCUCCAUAAAGAUCCCACCCCACUGGAGUGUGUGACCAACCUGGGAGAGAAACUGGGAGUUCUCAACAAUGAUGCUAAGAGCCAUGACCUUGAAAUUCAAAAGCAAAUAGAGAAGAGAUGAAGACCCAGGAGACCCGAGCUUGAAGUUAUCCCAGGAGAAACAAGCUGAAUAUAAGGUCUUCCCAGACUCAGCUCAGAGUCAAACAGCCUGUCUUCUAACCCCAUUUCCUCCCAUCACCAGCUGGGAGACUUGGAAGUCGUCUUUCCUUUCCCUGAGCGGAUACCCAUUUCAUUAGGUUCAUUAGGUGAGGGUGACAUGAGGUGGGAGCAAACAGCUCUAUCUCCAUACACCCCGUUAAGGGGCUUUGUGGGCAGAACCAAGACUCACCCAGAAAGAUGUGGUCGGUAGAAAAUAGCUUUUACACGAAUCUAGGCCUGGAUGGAGAAAGAAGACAUGUUAAAAAACAAACAAACAGACAAACAAAAAAACAAAACAAAAAACCCAAACAAACAAAAACAACUGGCAACAGGGAAGGAGCCUGGUGCUUGUAUACACGGUGCCUGGGGUACUCAAGAGGACGUGGGAAAGUUCUCCCCGUACAAGCAUCCAGCAAAUACAGGGAGAUCAAUAAAACCAAAUUACCACCGUUUUGCAGCCUCCAAAGAAACAAUGAAAGUUAACAGUGACCGUUAUAUCAGUUACUAAUUUACUGCCUUUAAACCCUAAGUCCACCGUUUCAGUGCUCUGGGGUCAUUCAUUGAAGGAAUUCGAAACACUUCUCCUUCCCAACGCGCAUGAUUUGACGCUUCAUCAGUAGAGGGCGCUAAAGAGACACUACAGGAACAAGGGGCUUUUCACUUGGUUUUACUCCUGGUGUCUGACCUCCAGCAGUGCACAUGUAGGCUCAUCAGCCAGGCCAUGUGCCAUCAAGAUCGCUACAGUGUACAGUCCUUCUCCCGGAUCCUCUGCCUGGACUCAGAGACCCCUUGCCUUCACCCUUGUAACGUACCAGUUUUACACAGACCUCCUGACCACUUUCCAUCUACAGCUGGCUGACAAGGCAGCAGGACUUUGUUUCUUAAAGCCCUCCAAGUGUGAAUGCUUCACACGAGUCCUUACACUUCCUAUUUGUGUAUGGUCACGGGACAAGUCAAGAGAAGAAAUUUUACUUUGAUUCAUCGUUAAAGAGAGACUUGAAUCCAUCACUACAAGGGGAAUGCACGGGCAGCUCUUCACCUGACCAUUGUCCAGGAAGCAGAGUUCAGGACUAGAGCCACAAGAGGAUAUAAAUUUCACGGGCCUGCCCCUGGUGGCCCAUCUAGUCUAGCAUCUCCUCAGGAGUCUACAGCCUUCAAAGCAGCCCCCACAAACUGGGGAAUCAAGUGUUUAAAACAUGAGAACUAAGAAUGCCAUUGAGAUUCAGAGCAAAACAGACAAAAGACUAAGCCCAGGAAAACGAUUAAGGCUUGAGAAUUGUGUGUGAGAACAGCAUCCAAGUCAGGAGGCCUGCAAAGCUGCUUUGUAGCCAUACACAAGUGACUGGCAACUGCUGACAAGCCACCACAGACAGGAUCAAGAGCAUGAGUUACUCCAGGCUUUGGGCUUUGGGAGGCAGCAUUUAUGGGGGAGGGGGUGUGUGGUGAGGGUUAGGGGAAGGGUUCCCUGUUCUACAUCAGUUGAUCAUGUCAACCACGGUCAUGGUGCUGAAGGACCUGCUAAAUCUGGCCUUGUUCCUGCCUUGGCAGGCUGCCAGGCAUAGCCAGGAUGAUGGAGGGGUGUUUUUACAAGUGUCAAACCCCAGGAACAUUGUCUUCAUCCUGUCUGAUAAAGCCCAGAGUCCGACAAGCAUCAGGGAAAAACACAGGUUCUAGUUCCAUUCCAACCCCUGCAGGCCUGCUCACUAAAAACUUCUGACAAUGUCAA